This is a long non-coding RNA of Cervus elaphus (red deer), 1742 nucleotides long. RefSeq lists it as uncharacterized. The transcript has 3 exons. Lineage: Eukaryota; Metazoa; Chordata; Mammalia; Artiodactyla; Cervidae. The record is from RefSeq and is a predicted model, not a curated record.
CCUGAGGCCCGGGGCCUCCUCCCGCCACAGGGAAGGGGCAGGGCGCCGGGGAUCCAGUGAUGGUUUCUGAGCUGAAGAGCCCUGACCCAGGCUGGGCCCUCAGGUGCCCAGGUGCUGUCCGGGCCGUCUGGCUCCACCUCCUACACCUCCACCCUCUGCAUCCAUCCACCCCCACCGUUUCUCAGCCACGUUGAGAAGCCAUGUGUGAUGGAGGAGAAUGUAAAAAUAUAUAUGCAACCGAAAAAACAACAACGAGCUGACAGAACACAGCUAUAAAUACUCUGACGGGCUCGGAGAUGUUCCCGCAUCCUGCUUCCUGCUGCCUAAGGCGCGGGGGCAUGGAUGUGGCAGGUGGGGUGGGACAGCCAUGUGUGGACCUACUCUGUGCCAAGCGCCUCGCAGGCAGCACAUCUCUGGAUCUUUGCAAAAACGCUCCCGGAGAAUCACCACUGUCACGCGGGCUUCUUUGGCUCCCAGAUAAGGAAGCCGAGGCACAGAGAAGUCAGCCUAGCCAAGGUCACACAGCAGGGGACCUUGGGAAGCAGUAGAGCUGGGAUUCCAGCAGGGCCAGCUUUCUGAAGAAGACAGAGCCGGCUUCAGGCUCUGCCUCCUGAGAUCCUCCCCCACGGGCAGGGAAAGCAUCAGGCUUCCAGGAACUCUGCUUACACACCUCCCAGGGCUCCCCAGUGCCCUCCAGAUAAAGACCUAAUUCAAGGCUGUCACAGCCCUGUGAUGUGGCCUCUGCCCACACCCAGAGCCCACCUCCCGCCACGGCCCCGGAUUUCUGAGUCCCAGCCAGGCAACGCUGGCCUGCUCUCAGGACCCCUUGAGGGCCCAGCACAGCCGGUCUUGUCACCUCCUGUCCCCUGAAGUCACAUCUGCCUACACCUGGGCCUCAGCUCAAGUGCUGCCUCCUCCCAGCCUCCCCCACGGUCAGAUCCUCCCGCACCUUCCCUGUGAUCAGGGGAGUCACUACUGGUGAUGGGCCGCAGCUGUGAGGGCCGGGAGAGGGGAAGGCAGGGCCUGCCAUCCAUGCUCCUCUUUGACGGCCUUGCAGCUGCUGGAGAGCCUGGGGGUGGUGGCGUGAAAUGGGAUUGAAGGGGAGCUGGCCUUGGACUCUGGGAGGAGGAGAAGGAAAGAAAACGAAGGAAGAAGAAAGACAAAAGGGACUCCUGGGGCCUUCAGGAGGAGAAGAGCCGAGAAGAAUGGGAGAUAAGUUGGCUCUGGCUCUUGGACCUUCAUCAUGUCUCGGAUCAGCUUUCCACGAGGUGUCGGAGCCUGUCUGCACCUCUGGCUGGUGUCAGCAUAAAGGAUCCUCACAGUGCCUGGCACAUAGUAGGUGUGCAGUCAACACCUGUCAAGGAAUCAAUGAACAACCACCCACGUGCGAAAGAAGAAAGAAAGUCCAAGCGCCCUGACUGAGAUGUGGAAUGUGGCCGUCGCCUUCUGCUAUUUCCACCAGAAACCCACCGCAGAGGUAUUUGUGUGGAAGGCAGGCAGAGGGAGAUUUCAGGAAGUCAGAGGGAAGGUUUCAAGUGCGACAAUAAAAACUUCAAACGGACAUUGGACAGUCCUGUUCUUCAAAGUUUCACCCCUGAGAAGUUUUAAUGGACCCCUUUAUCUCACACAGUUCCCCAGCCUGGCUCUUUUCCUUUUAAAAUUUUUUUUAAUUGAAGCAUAGUCGAUGUGGGCUUCCCUGGUGGCUCAGUGGUAAAGGAUCCGCCUGCCAGUGCAGGAGACAU